RNAcentral lists this ribosomal RNA (268 nucleotides) under uncultured bacterium. RNAcentral describes it as "partial 16S ribosomal RNA". It matches the Rfam family "Bacterial small subunit ribosomal RNA", at positions 88 to 354 of the family's 1533-position model. The record is from RNAcentral.
CCGGCGACCGGCGCACGGGUGAGUAACACGUAUGCAACCUGGCCGCCACAGGGGGAUAACCCGCGGAAACGCGGCCUAAUACCCCGUGACGCCACCGGAGGGCAUCCUCCGGUGGCCAAAGGAGCGAUCCGGUGGCGGAUGGGCAUGCGGUGCAUUAGCUAGACGGCGGGGUGACGGCCCACCGUGGCGACGAUGCGUAGGGGUUCUGAGAGGAAGGCCCCCCACACUGGGACUGAGACACGGCCCAGACUCCUACGGAAGGCAGCAG